Molecule: long non-coding RNA, 238 nt
Filed under: Phoenix dactylifera (date palm)
Lineage: Eukaryota; Viridiplantae; Streptophyta; Magnoliopsida; Arecales; Arecaceae
Description: long non-coding RNA (PDAC_LNC016391)
Source: RNAcentral
AUAGUAUUUCUUAGUCCAAAUAUACCAUAACUCUUCUUUCACUUUGACUUCGAUUAAGUUUUCUCUCUUUUAUUGCCCCAAGAUUUUACUCCUAAACUUAGGACCUCAAGCCUAGAUUUACUUGGAUGCUGACGACUCGACGCAGUUGCCAUUAAAUAGACUACGUAACCCUGGUAUCCAAGAGUAUACGAAAAACUAAACUCAGUGCUCACCUCUAGUUUAUACCAUACCAUCUCUC